RNAcentral lists this long non-coding RNA (208 nucleotides) under Nicotiana benthamiana. RNAcentral's name for it is "long non-coding RNA (NBEN_LNC023521)". The record is from RNAcentral. Lineage: Eukaryota; Viridiplantae; Streptophyta; Magnoliopsida; Solanales; Solanaceae.
AAAUUGAAAUUGAGACUCCAUUUGGUUUGAAAAUCCAAGACAUUGAGUAUGAUUGGAAACCAGAAUUUUGUAACCAUUGCUUGAAGUUUGGGCAUAAUUCAAUGGACUGUUGGAAUAACAGUCAUACUGAUGGAAAACAAGAGCAGGAAGUUCAAGAAAAUCUGGCUAGAAAUAAGGUGAGGAACAAACAGCCAAGGCAGAAAUGGAU